RNAcentral lists this ribosomal RNA (550 nucleotides) under Aureobasidium proteae. RNAcentral describes it as "eukaryotic LSU rRNA". It matches the Rfam family "Eukaryotic large subunit ribosomal RNA", at positions 75 to 640 of the family's 3401-position model. Lineage: Eukaryota; Fungi; Ascomycota; Dothideomycetes; Dothideales; Saccotheciaceae. The record is from RNAcentral.
UUGCCCUAGUAACGGCGAGUGAAGCGGCAACAGCUCAAAUUUGAAAGCUAGCCUUCGGGUUCGCAUUGUAAUUUGUAGAGGAUGAUUUGGGGAAGCCGCCUGUCUAAGUUCCUUGGAACAGGACGUCAUAGAGGGUGAGAAUCCCGUAUGUGACAGGAAAUGGCACCCUAUGUAAAUCUCCUUCGACGAGUCGAGUUGUUUGGGAAUGCAGCUCUAAAUGGGAGGUAAAUUUCUUCUAAAGCUAAAUAUUGGCGAGAGACCGAUAGCGCACAAGUAGAGUGAUCGAAAGAUGAAAAGCACUUUGGAAAGAGAGUUAAAAAGCACGUGAAAUUGUUGAAAGGGAAGCGCUUGCAAUCAGACUUGUUUAAACUGUUCGGCCGGUCUUCUGACCGGUUUACUCAGUUUGGACAGGCCAGCAUCAGUUUCGGCGGCCGGAUAAAGGCUCUGGGAAUGUGGCCUCCACUUCGGUGGAGGUGUUAUAGCCCAGGGUGUAAUACGGCCAGCCGGGACUGAGGUCCGCGCUUCGGCUAGGAUGCUGGCGUAAUGGUUG